AUGGAUGGAGCAGACGUCACCUUUCACGUUGGCGGGCAGAAAUUUUCAGCGCAUAGGUCCGUGCUCGCUGCUCGGUCCUCCGUCUUCAAGGCAGAGCUCUUCGGCUCCAUGAUGGAGAAUGCCGGUGAUCCGGUUGAGAUCGGCGAUAUGGAGAGCGACGUGUUUAAGUCAUUGCUGCAUUUCAUAUACACUGACGACUCACCGCCAGUGGCGAAGCCAGUGGAAAAAGAGAUGGCCCGUGAAGACGUGGUGAUGGCUGGCCAUUUACUCGUUGCGGCUGACAGGUGAAAUGUUGAGAGGUUGAAACUGAUAUGCAAGGAUAAGUUGUGCACACACAUUGACUCCGACAACGUGGCGACUAGCUUAGAUUUAGCUGAACAACAUAGUUGCCCUGGACUAAAGGAAGCCUGCUUUGAGUUCCUUGCCUCUCCUUCCAAUUUUGAGGCUACGGUGGCAAGUGAUGGUUAUGAGCAUCUGAAGAGCAGUUGCCCGUCCGCUCUCAAGGAGCUGAUUGCUAGAUUCUUACCCGCUGAGCUAAAAGCGGCCAAGGAUAUCAUCAUGAAAUUCUUAGUACCCCACAGCGUGUGA
RNAcentral lists this ribosomal RNA (588 nucleotides) under Triticum aestivum (bread wheat). RNAcentral describes it as "partial small subunit ribosomal RNA". Lineage: Eukaryota; Viridiplantae; Streptophyta; Magnoliopsida; Poales; Poaceae. The record is from RNAcentral.